Molecule: ribosomal RNA, 376 nt
Filed under: uncultured bacterium
Lineage: Bacteria
Description: bacterial SSU rRNA
Rfam family: Bacterial small subunit ribosomal RNA
Source: RNAcentral
UAAGACGAACCGUGCGAACGUUGUUCGGAAUCACUGGGCUUAAAGGGCGCGUAGGCGGCAUGACAAGUCUGGGGUGAAAUCCUCCGGCUCAACCGGAGAAUUGCCUGGGAAACUAGCAUGCUCGAGGGAGGUAGAGGUGGCCGGAACUUCCAGUGGAGCGGUGAAAUGCGUUGAUAUUGGAAGGAACGCCGGAGCCGAAAGGGGGCCACUGGACCUCUUCUGACGCUGAUGCGCGAAAGCUAGGGGAGCGAACGGGAUUAGAUACCCCGGUAGUCCUAGCCCUAAACGAUGAGUACUAGAUGGUGGACCUGACACGGGUUCACCGUCGAAGCAAAAGUGGUAAGUACUCCGCCUGGGGAGUAUGGUCGCAAGGCUG